GACAGAGGGUGCAAACGUUGCUCGGAAUCACUGGGCGUAAAGGGCGUGUAGGCGGGAAGGAUAGUCAGAUGUGAAAUCCCUGGGCUCAACCCAGGAACUGCAUUUGAAACUCCCUUUCUUGAGUGUCGGAGAGGAAAGUGGAAUUCCUGGUGUAGAGGUGAAAUUCGUAGAUAUCAGGAGGAGCACCGGUGGCGAAGGCGGCUUUCUGGACGACAACUGACGCUGAGGCACGAAAGCGUGGGGAGCAAACAGG
Molecule: ribosomal RNA, 253 nt
Filed under: uncultured bacterium
Lineage: Bacteria
Description: partial 16S ribosomal RNA
Rfam family: Bacterial small subunit ribosomal RNA
Source: RNAcentral